ACGAAGGUCCCAAGCGUUGUUCGGAAUCACUGGGCGUAAAGGGUGCGUAGGUGGUGCGGUAAGUCAGAUGUGAAAUCCCGGGGCUUAACCCCGGAACUGCAUCCGAUACUACCGUACUAGAGGACCGGAGAGGAGAUUGGAAUUCUCGGUGUAGCAGUGAAAUGCGUAGAGAUCGGGAGGAACACUCGUGGCGAAAGCGAGUCUCUGGACGGAUCCUGACGCUGAGGCACGAAGGCCGGGGUAGCGAAAGG
RNAcentral lists this ribosomal RNA (251 nucleotides) under uncultured prokaryote. Its description in RNAcentral is "partial 16S rRNA". It matches the Rfam family "Bacterial small subunit ribosomal RNA", at positions 525 to 775 of the family's 1533-position model. The record is from RNAcentral.